Strongylocentrotus purpuratus (purple sea urchin) is the source of this 1356-nucleotide long non-coding RNA. RefSeq annotates it as hyalin. The transcript is spliced from 4 exons. The record is from RefSeq and is a predicted model, not a curated record. NCBI's taxonomy places the organism in Eukaryota, Metazoa, Echinodermata, Echinoidea, Camarodonta, Strongylocentrotidae.
AUGGACUACAGAAUUGAUAAGGAUGGAAAGAUAAAAACCUUCCAUGCAAAUCUUCUGAAGAAGUACUACAGGAGAGAGGAGAGUGCAGGUGGGUUUGAUGUUGCUGGUGUCUCUGUUGUGGAUGAUGGCUUGUCUGAGGAAUGUAGCGAAGGAGAGAAUGAAGAUGUAAACCAUUCUUCGAGAAAGGAUAUUCUUCAUCUCCCCAAUCUUACCCCAACAGAAUCUCUCAAAGAUGUGCAGAUCAGUCCACAUCUAGAUGAUAAGCAGCGUGAGGAGGUCAACUCUCUUUUACGGGAGUAUGAAGAAGUUUUGACUGAUAUGCCGGGAUUGACAAACUUAGCCCGCUUGUUUUACUACACGAAAAGGACUGAAUUAGGCGUCACGAAUCUAGACGGGAGUGGGAAUAGAACCAUCAAAGUAUUCUCCACCGAAACAACGGGUAGUUCUCUCAGCAAGUACGGCAGCAGGCUGUUCUGGUCAGCUCAGUCACGUUCUACCACGAGUUAUGCCAUCACGAGCUUGAUCAACGAGUAUGAUAUGAAGUCAUCCACUCUCACGAUUCACAACAGUACGGUGACAUUGACGAGUGGCAACGAUCUUGCCAUCAGCCCUGUGACUACUCGGAUCAUAUCAAACACUCCAUAUAAUGAACCCGUUGCCAUCCAGGGUUGCCCUGACAACAUCGUCGUCAAUAUCGACGACAACGCUUCGAAUGCGCCAUCGAUCUCAUGGACCGAGCCCGUACUCAACAGCUGGUCCAGCUGUCCCACAAUGGUCUUUCUAGGUCCAGGAACUAACGGAGGCGAUUUCCCUUUGGGCAUAACCGAGCUGUCCUAUCGGGCCAGUGAUGCGGCAGGAAAUACAGAUGAUUGCCAAUUUUCUGUGACUGUACGCAGGUCUAGUGAUGAAACGUUGCCCCCGGCUACGGGACUGCCUGACUGUCGUCAAGUGCAUUCAGGUAGCACUGCGCUCGUCACUUCAUUUUCUUCCGUUCUUCUAGUCCUUUGCAUCGCCCUCUUCCUAAUCGUCCUCAAAUAGGUCAUUGAUCGUCCACACAUCUUCGCCCUCUUCAUUUAAGCUAUGCCGUGUCCAGCUAGUUGGUCGUGAAUACUCUGCGUUUUAUAUAACCAGAGCCAUGGCGAGAUAAUGCUAAAAACAAAGAGUGGCGGCCGUGCUUUUGCUCCAUCGUCUAUGUCGUUGAACAAUUCAAGAUAUAAAUAGGGCUAAGUUUGUAAGAAGGUAUAAGGUCAGGUAUAAAUAGGUUAAGUUUUGUUUUUUAGGCAGUGUUAAAUUUUGGAAAUUCGGUGAUCCCGGAGGAUUUUUUUUUGCAGGGGAAAUUAUCGUAGAAACGAAGAA